UGGGGAAUAUUGGACAAUGGGCGAAAGCCUGAUCCAGCCAUGCCGCGUGUGUGAAGAAGGUCUUCGGAUUGUAAAGCACUUUAAGUUGGGAGGAAGGGCAGUAAGCGAAUACCUUGCUGUUUUGACGUUACCGACAGAAUAAGCACCGGCUAACGCUGUGCCAGCAGCCGCGGAAAUACAGAGGGUGCAAGCGUUAAUCGGAAUUACUGGGCGUAAAGCGCGCGUAGGUGGUUCGUUAAGUUGAAUGUGAAAGCCCCCGGCUCAACCUGGGAACUGCAUCCAAAACUGGCGAGCUAGAGUAGGGCAGAGGGUGGUGGAAUUUCCUGUGUAGCGGUGAAAUGCGUAGAUAUAGGAAGGAACACCAGUGGCGAAGGCGACCACCUGGGCUCAUACUGACUCUGCGGUGCGAAAGCGUGGGGAGCAAACAGG
RNAcentral lists this ribosomal RNA (429 nucleotides) under Pseudomonadota bacterium. RNAcentral's name for it is "Proteobacteria bacterium partial 16S ribosomal RNA". It matches the Rfam family "Bacterial small subunit ribosomal RNA", at positions 355 to 776 of the family's 1533-position model. The record is from RNAcentral. Lineage: Bacteria; Pseudomonadati; Pseudomonadota.